Solanum tuberosum (potato) is the source of this 142-nucleotide non-coding RNA. Lineage: Eukaryota; Viridiplantae; Streptophyta; Magnoliopsida; Solanales; Solanaceae. The record is from Rfam.
UUAAGUUAACCAUAUAAAAUAUGUUCUCCUUUAAUUAUAUGCAUCAACCUCAAGUUGAAAACAUCUUAAGUUUUUGCGGCUUAUUAAGGUGAAUGCAUAGACUUAAAGGAGAUGACAUAUAUUUUAUGUGGUUAACUUAACU